AGCUUUUUGAAUCCAUGCUAAGAUUUCGUCAGACGCAAAUCCAAUAGGACUGAUCAGACUUCCAAGACGAGUGAAGUU
This 78-nucleotide microRNA precursor is filed under the name Schistosoma margrebowiei. RNAcentral describes it as "mir-3492 microRNA precursor family". It matches the Rfam family "mir-3492 microRNA precursor family". Lineage: Eukaryota; Metazoa; Platyhelminthes; Trematoda; Strigeidida; Schistosomatidae. The record is from Rfam by way of RNAcentral.